AUUGAACGCUGGCGGCAGGCCUAACACAUGCAAGUCGAACGGUAACAGGAAGCAGCUCGCUGCUUUGCUGACGAGUGGCGGACGGGUGAGUAAUGUCUGGGAAACUGCCCGAUGGAGGGGGAUAACUACUGGAAACGGUAGCUAAUACCGCAUAACGUCGCAAGACCAAAGAGGGGGACCUUAGGGCCUCUUGCCAUCGGAUGUGCCCAGAUGGGAUUAGCUAGUAGGUGGGGUAACGGCUCACCUAGGCGACGAUCCCUAGCUGGUCUGAGAGGAUGACCAGCCACACUGGAACUGAGACACGGUCCAGACUCCUACGGGAGGCAGCAGUGGGGAAUAUUGCACAAUGGGCGCAAGCCUGAUGCAGCCAUGCCGCGUGUAUGAAGAAGGCCUUCGGGUUGUAAAGUACUUUCAGCGGGGAGGAAGGGAGUAAAGUUAAUACCUUUGCUCAUUGACGUUACCCGCAGAAGAAGCACCGGCUAACUCCGUG
Molecule: ribosomal RNA, 490 nt
Filed under: uncultured bacterium
Lineage: Bacteria
Description: partial 16S ribosomal RNA
Rfam family: Bacterial small subunit ribosomal RNA
Source: RNAcentral